Molecule: transfer RNA, 73 nt
Organism: Cavia porcellus (domestic guinea pig)
Lineage: Eukaryota; Metazoa; Chordata; Mammalia; Rodentia; Caviidae
Rfam family: tRNA
About the family: Transfer RNA (tRNA) molecules are approximately 80 nucleotides in length. Their secondary structure includes four short double-helical elements and three loops (D, anti-codon, and T loops).
Source: Rfam
UCCUCCUUAGCACAGUAGGCAGCACAUCAGUCUCAUAACCUGAAUGUUCUGAGUUCGAGCUUCAGAGGGGGCA